Long non-coding RNA from Balaenoptera ricei (Rice's whale), 836 nucleotides. RefSeq lists it as uncharacterized. NCBI's taxonomy places the organism in Eukaryota, Metazoa, Chordata, Mammalia, Artiodactyla, Balaenopteridae. The record is from RefSeq and is a predicted model, not a curated record. The transcript has 2 exons.
CAGACCACCAGACUGGGGUGUCAAGUCUCGUGUGGCAGCAGGGGAGCUUCCUGUUUCCAACGACAUGGAGAAAGAUUCUGUCUCUCUCUCUUCACUUCUCUUCUGAUCUCAGGAGGAGACACACUUUCCCCAAAGUGAGAUGUCCACAGAGCCUGCUGAAGUCCAUGGAGAGCGGGGGUGUGUCUGCACCAGCUCCUCCAUUUCAGUUCUUGGCGGGAGGGGCGCCAAACACUAUGCCAGGCGACAACGAUUGACCAUAAAAACGUGAAGCACCUGUUCUGAGCCCCCUCGAGCUGCCGGGACAGGCAGCAGAGGGGAGCCAGAGGGACCUGGAUUGUGCCUGUAGCAGAGUCCUGUGGGAGGCUCCCUGGUGCAGACACGGUCCAACAAGACAAGAUUCCUUGGGGGCCUCGGGGCCGGUGUUUCCCCCCACUGCGGAUGAGGGCCUCUGUGGCCUGUGGGCAAUGGAGGCAAUGCACCAAAGGGAGCUGGCUCCUUCCACCCUCUCGUUCCUCUGUGCCGGUCACAUCCAAGAAAACGUCUUCUUAGUGACAGCCCAUCUCCAGCACCUGUCUGACACUCGCCAGUGUCCCUUUACAAACAAGGAAAGAGCAGGUCUAAGGCUCAGGGGCCCUUCUCAGGCAGCAGUAUUUGGCUAAAAUCAAAUACCACUUUCUCUUUUACCUAUUUUUUAUGGUAACCUCUCUAUGGUAAUGACACAGAUUUACCUUUUAAAAACUAAACUCACUCUUUUAGUAAAAUACAUAAAUUGUUCAGAGGAACAAAAUGUGUAAAUAAUGAUUUCAAGGAAUAAAAUCCAAAAUGAAGUUUGGAAA